GGACGGGUGAGUAACGCGUGGGCAACCUGCCCUGUACCGGGGGACAACAGCCAGAAAUGGCUGCUAAUACCGCAUAAGCCUGCUGUGCCGCGUGGCACAGCAGGGAAAACCACGGUGGUACAGGAUGGGCCCGCGUCUGAUUAGUUAGUUGGCAGGGUAACGGCCUACCAAGACAACGAUCAGUAGCCGGCUUGAGAGAGUGGACGGCCACAUUGGGACUGAGACACGGCCCAGACUCCUGCGGGAGGCAGCAGUGGGGAAUAUUGCACAAUGGGGGGAACCCUGAUGCAGCAAUGCCGCGUGGGUGAAGAAGCACUCCGGUGCGUAAAGCCCUGUCAGCAGGGAAGAAAAUGACAGUACCUGGACAAGAAGCCCCGGCUAACUACGUGCCAGCAGCCGCGGUAAUACGUAGGGGGCAAGCGUUAUCCGGAUUUACUGGGUGUAAAGGGAGCGCAGGCGGCGUGGCAAGUCAGAUGUGAAAACCCGGGGCCCAACCCCGGGAGUGCAUUUGAAACUGCCAUGCUGGAGUGCCGGAGAGGUAAGCGGAAUUCCUAGUGUAGCGGUGAAAUGCGUAGAUAUUAGGAGGAACACCAGUGGCGGAGGCGGCUUACUGGACGGUA
This 620-nucleotide ribosomal RNA is filed under the name uncultured bacterium. Its description in RNAcentral is "bacterial SSU rRNA". It matches the Rfam family "Bacterial small subunit ribosomal RNA", at positions 100 to 738 of the family's 1533-position model. The record is from RNAcentral.